CAAUAGCGUAUAUUAAAGUUGUUGCAGUUAAAAAGCUCGUAGUUGGAUUUGUGGCGUACGGUGUGUUCCGGGCACUUGUUGUCUGAGUAACCUGCUGUUGCCAUCCUUGGGUGGAACCUGUGUGGCAUUAGGUUGUCGUGCAGGGGAUGCCCAUCAUUUACUGUGAAAAAAUUAGAGUGUUCAAAGCAGGCUUAUGCCGUUGAAUAUAUUAGCAUGGGAUAAUGAGAUAGGACUUUUUUGCUAUUUUGUUGGUUUGCGCAAGAAGGUAAUGAUUAAUAGGGACAGUUGGGGGUAUUCGUAUUCCAUUGUCAGAGGUGAAAUUCUUGGAUUUUUGGAAGACGAACUACUGCGAAAGCAUUUACCAAGGAUGUUUUCAUUAA
This 380-nucleotide ribosomal RNA is filed under the name uncultured eukaryote. Its description in RNAcentral is "partial 18S ribosomal RNA". It matches the Rfam family "Eukaryotic small subunit ribosomal RNA", at positions 592 to 976 of the family's 1831-position model. The record is from RNAcentral.